Molecule: long non-coding RNA, 1927 nt
Organism: Oreochromis aureus
Lineage: Eukaryota; Metazoa; Chordata; Actinopteri; Cichliformes; Cichlidae
Source: Ensembl
GAUGAAAGAUAUGGUUUGAAAAUGCCACGUCACUACCGUCCUCCUCCCUAGCACGGAUCAGUCCGCAUUUGUUAUGGAAUAUGUUGAGCAAACCUGGAGAAGCGUCAGCUCAAGAUAUUAUUGUUGUCAUUGCUGUGGAUCUUUACCUGAUACACUGACUUGGUGAGUAAAUGUUUACUCUUAUUCAAACUGAUUUUGUGGCUUCUCUUAGUUUAGCACCAGGUUUAAAAUCUUGUUUUCCAAAACACUUUUAAAAAAGUGUUUUGGAAAUGACAGUCUUCAUUACAAAGCUUUCUUCGUUAUGAAUUAGCAUACAUGUUUUUAUUGAACAUUUGAAGAACUAGCAAAAAAAAAAAAAAACUCUUGUAGAGGACAUAAAGUCAGAGAUAGAAAUGACAAGGAGCAGGUGCAUCUAGUACAGGUAGAGCUGCUGCAAAAACCCACAGAGCUCAGCAGCCAGCGCAACAAAUUCUGGAUCCUUUGCUUUUAGUUAGCAUUAGCAGCACAUCCUGCAUCCGAUGUGAAAGGACUUUUAUGCUGCGCACUGUGACUCGCAGCAAUGGUCCCUGGUCAGCCCUGAAUUUGUGUUAAACUAAUCCUAAAGUAAUAAUGGUAUUUCUAACCACUGACAUACCACAACUUUAUCCUUUCAACAGCUGCUGAAAGUAAGGGGACCUAGCUGCUAUCGGAUAUUUAUAUAGAGAUCCUCCAGCUUCAAACUGUAUUACCCUUCAAGGACCUGCAGUUCUAAAAAGUGCAACUCCGACAGCCAAACCCAUCUGUUCUCUGAUUGGAUUGUUACAUUUGUGAUUUACAUGACAUUGACCAAUCAGAUGAAAGGAAGAAAAAUAGGGUCAAAAUUCGUACUAGUAACUUGCAGGGUUUUUUUUGGCUAAGUCCACACACAAAUCUUUUUUACGCGCACGCAAAUCUUUUUUACACACAAAUUCUUUUUACACAUACAAAUCCUGAUUGACAAGUACAAAAUAUUUAUGACCACAUUUUGAGCCCAUACUUGUCGGAGCCUGUGCUUACUUGUAAGCGCGGCAAUGGCGGAGGAGCGCCGCUGAAAAACUUAUUACUUUUUCUGGGUCACAAAAUAAACUUUUAAGAUAUUUUCAGGCGAGAAUGUAGCUGUGUAAAUUUCAAAUAUCUACUCGAUUUAUCAAGACAUCAUAUAUUUGCAAAAAUGCUCCGACGUUUUCAGAGACGUCCAUUUUUUUCAUGCUUUGUGGCAGCUUAAGAACAUCUGUGGCAUCUAUUAAUGUCAAAUCUAGCCUUUAUUUAACAACAUAAGCAAACUCUAUGUUACAAUGAUUGCACAGCCAUUAAGGAUCAAAUCAGUUUCUGAAAAAUGUUCUGUUUUUUCUCCCUCUGCUUGCUUCUUACUGUCUUUGAGGCCGAUCGGGACCAGCACUCCUGCUGUUGGACAGAAAGACAUCAGACAACAGGAGAGAUGAGUCCUCCGUCACAGAUGGUGUGGUCAGUGAAGAUGGUCAUCUGCAGGUUCAAGCUCAUUGCAUCUCCAACCCACAUCCACUGCCACUGUACUUAAGGGAAGUUAAAGACUUUCUUCUGCACCUACAUUUGGAUCACCUCGAUCCAUGACAGUCAUUCAGGCAGUGAUGCCUGGACUGGAAACAAGCAUCCUUAAAAUAAUACAACAUUCCAGCUCAUGUGUUGGAAUGGAAAACAAAUGUGUUGUUUAAAUUAGAGACUGCACUUGUGACAGAACAAUAAAUAUUUUAUUUUGAUUAUAUAAGUAAUGUAAGUACAAAACAAACUUGUUGUAGGCCUAAACUUAUUUUCAGAAUAAUUAAAUCUGAGACUUUGUUUCAUUGUAAGAUUAUAAUUGUUUGUUGUUCAGCAGAACAGUGUCCAGUAUGUUGGCUGUUAUACUUUGUUGUGUUUGAAAAUAAAAGUUGGG